AAAAUGUGAUAAUCAUUGUGAAUUGCAGAAUUCAGUGAAUCAAUAGAAUGCUGAACGCAUACGGCACUCGUUUCUACGAGUACGCUUGUUUCAGAAUCAUUGAAAUUCCAAUUCGACCCUCCUUAUUGGAGGCUCGGAGCGGAGCUAUGAGUCAUCUUCAGUGGAAACAUUGUGGUUGGCUUUUGUGUCCAAGUGCUCGACGCUAUUGACAUCACGUUGAAACGACUGGAUGUCGUAGCGAAGACUACGCUUGCUCCUUUCUUUUUUGAUCUGAAAUCAAGCGAGGCUACCCGCUGAAUUUAA
Molecule: unclassified non-coding RNA, 303 nt
Filed under: uncultured Mortierellaceae
Lineage: Eukaryota; Fungi; Mortierellomycota; Mortierellomycetes; Mortierellales; Mortierellaceae
Description: sequence contains ITS1
Rfam family: 5.8S ribosomal RNA (bases 1-99)
Source: RNAcentral